UUGAACGCUGGCGGCAGGCCUAACACAUGCCAGUCGAGCGGAUGAAGGGAGCUUGCUCCUGGAUUCAGCGGCGGACGGGUGAGUAAUGCCUCGGAAUCUGCCUGGUCGUGGGGGAUAACGUCCGGAAACGGGCGCUAAUACCGCCUACGUCCUGACUGCGACAGUGGGGGAUCUUCGGACCUCACGCUAUCAGAUGAGCCUAGGUCGGAUUAGCUAGUUGGUGGGGUAAAGGCCUACCAAGGCGACGAUCCGUAACUGGUCUGAGAGGAUGAUCAGUCACACGGGAACUGAGACACGGUCAAGACGCCUAAGGGAGGCAGCAGUGGGGAAUAUGGGGCAAUGGGCGAAAGCCUGAUCCAGCCAUGCCGCGUGUGUGAAGAAGGUCUUCGGAGUGUAAAGAAGGUUAAGGGGGGAGGAAGGGCAGUAAGUUAAUACCUAGCUGGUGUGACGUUAACAACAGAAUAAGCACCGGCUAACUUCGUG
RNAcentral lists this ribosomal RNA (483 nucleotides) under uncultured bacterium. RNAcentral describes it as "partial 16S ribosomal RNA". It matches the Rfam family "Bacterial small subunit ribosomal RNA", at positions 29 to 507 of the family's 1533-position model. The record is from RNAcentral.